GAAUAACUUCAAACUGGCGUCGAAUUGCUUAUUCUUCAAAAACCCAGAAACCAUACAAUUAACGGUAACAACAGUUCUCUCAGAAAUUCUAUCGAACAAGACACAAGCAUAAUUCAACGACCUGUUAGAACUCAUAUAAAAAUAAAUCAAACUAUUCAGAACAUUCACAUUACCAUCCAAUCCAAGCAUCAUUACACGACUAUGUAUAGAUUUCCCUACUUUAACACCCAAAACCUUAUUACAAGCUUUUAACAAAGACGCAUACACAUAAGGAUCACUGACUGAGUCAUUCCAUUUCCCUCUUUGCAUGGCUUUGAAAAAAGAGAUGACCGUAAAAGGGUCCCUUUCUAAAUCAAAUUGGCGGAGCAUAGCGCGCCAAGCAGACAUAAUCCAAAGGGAUUUCAAGAGGAGGCUCGUUUGAUCGUGUGGGCUCCAAAUGGAUCACAGAAAGGGGUAACAGAAGAGACUCUAUCUGAGAAAAUACGGGUUAACUAAGGUGUGAAGAUACAGUCCCAUGAGAGAACGAAGGUGGAAUUAGUGAAGGAGGUUUGAAGGGUUUAGCAUGAAGAUAUUCAGAAACGAGGGGAGUCAUGGGCUAGUUGUGGAGAAAACUGGAGGUUUCUGAUGGUCAAAGAAGA
This 638-nucleotide unclassified non-coding RNA is filed under the name Hevea brasiliensis (rubber tree). The record is from RNAcentral. Lineage: Eukaryota; Viridiplantae; Streptophyta; Magnoliopsida; Malpighiales; Euphorbiaceae.